AACGAACGCUGGCGGCGUGCUUAACACAUGCAAGUCGAGCGGUAAGGCCCUUCGGGGUACACGAGCGGCGAACGGGUGAGUAACACGUGGGUGACCUGCCCCCUACUCUGGGAUAAGCCUGGGAAACUGGGUCUAAUACCGGAUAUGACUACUGGUUGCAUGACUGGUGGUGGAAAGUUCUUCGGUGGGGGAUGGGCCCGCGGCCUAUCAGCUUGUUGGUGGGGUGAUGGCCUACCAAGGCGACGACGGGUAGCCGGCCCGAGAGGGCGACCGGCCACACUGGGACUGAGACACGGCCCAGACUCCUACGGGAGGCAGCAGUGGGGAAUAUUGCGCAAUGGGCGGAAGCCUGACGCAGCGACGCCGCGUGGGAGAUCACGGCCUUCGGGUUGUAAACCUCUUUCGGCCCCGACGAAGCGUGAGUGACGGUAGGGGUAGAAGAAGCACCGGCCAACUACGUGCCAGCAGCCGCGGUAACACGUAGGGUGCGAGCGUUGUCCGGAAUUAUUGGGCGUAAAGAGCUCGUAGGCGGUGUGUCGCGUCGGCCGUGAAAACCUGCAGCUUAACUGUGGGCUUGCGGUCGAUACGGGCAUCACUGGAGUUCGGCAGGGGAGACUGGAAUUCCUGGUGUAGCGGUGAAGUGCGCAGAUAUCAGGAGGAACACCGGUGGCGAAGGCGGGUCUCUGGGCCGAUACUGACGCUGAGGAGCGAAAGCGUGGGGAGCGAACGAUUAGAUACCCUGGUAGUCCACGCCGUAAACGGUGGGCGCUAGGUGUGGGGGCCAUUCCACGGUCUCUGUGCCGUAGCUAACGCAUUAAGCGCCCCGCCUGGGGAGUACGGCCCGCAAGGCUAAA
RNAcentral lists this ribosomal RNA (854 nucleotides) under uncultured bacterium. Its description in RNAcentral is "bacterial SSU rRNA". It matches the Rfam family "Bacterial small subunit ribosomal RNA", at positions 28 to 898 of the family's 1533-position model. The record is from RNAcentral.